Long non-coding RNA from Girardinichthys multiradiatus, 915 nucleotides. RefSeq lists it as uncharacterized. The transcript has 3 exons. The record is from RefSeq and is a predicted model, not a curated record. NCBI's taxonomy places the organism in Eukaryota, Metazoa, Chordata, Actinopteri, Cyprinodontiformes, Goodeidae.
GGUGAGGCUGCUGCAGAGAACAGCAUCAGCCCAGUCAUUUAGAGCAGAUUAAUAAUGCAUCGAGUUUCUAUCUACAGCGGGAGACGUGCACAAACAUGGACUGAAGGAGCUUUACUUCUUCAAAGAGGAGCAGAAUGGAGCUGCAGUCCUACAUCACCAUCAAACCUGAGCUGGCAGCUGCUUUAAAAGGAUGGAAGCUGCUCUUUGAUUGUUCCUGGAUCAGGACCAGCAGCCUGUGGUAGAGCUGUGGACCAGGGACCCAAAAACAUUCAGUCAUGCACUUAUACCCUUCAGGAGGAGGGAGCAGGAGGAGCUGGGAGGAGCUGGGAGGAGGAGGAAGCCGAGGAAGAUCCUUUGGGAUUUUCUAUUGCAUUUGAGCAAGGUGGAAUCUACUGUCCAACCUUAUGAACCGAUUUCUGGGUGAUAGUUGCUCUCAUGAUUCAGCAGUAGCACAGAGCAAGGAAAAGAGAAAUAAUGAUAAAGUGAAGGAAAAGGUCCAACCAGCUCUCUAAACAGGGCGGCCCAGUUUAUCUCCUGGAGCUGAAGCUGUCUUCUGCCCUCGGGUGCAUGAAUACAAAUCCUGCCAUCAUCAUUUCAACUCCAAUGGAAAAACAGAUCUGUUUAUGGUCUGUAACCUGGUUUAGGUGUGAUUAAAGUCAGAGUGAGCCUCCUUCCUAACAGCAGGCCAUAUGGAGCAUUUCCGCUGGGCUCAUUAGCGCAUUCAUGCUGGGAGGGGCUGUUUUCACCUUCAGGUGGAAAAAGAGGUGUCGGAAAGGAGCAAUAAACUUGUUAUCUUUUAAUGAUCAGACAAAAUCUGCACAAACAGAAAAAUGAGCUGGUCUGAUCUGUAGCGAAGUUUUACUGUAAACAGAGUCUGGUUCAGAGUAGAAGAUCUCCAGACAGCAUUCAAUGCAA